RNAcentral lists this transfer RNA (84 nucleotides) under Phycisphaerae bacterium. Its description in RNAcentral is "tRNA-Leu". It matches the Rfam family "tRNA". Rfam says of the family: Transfer RNA (tRNA) molecules are approximately 80 nucleotides in length. Their secondary structure includes four short double-helical elements and three loops (D, anti-codon, and T loops). The record is from RNAcentral. Lineage: Bacteria; Pseudomonadati; Planctomycetota; Phycisphaerae.
GCCCAGGUGGCGAAAUUGGCAGACGCACUACCUUGAGGUGGUAGCGCCCGAAAGGGCAUGGAGGUUCAAGUCCUCUCCUGGGCA